CCUACGGGAGGCAGCAGUGGGGAAUUUUGGACAAUGGGCGCAAGCCUGAUCCAGCCAUGCCGCGUGCGGGAAGAAGGCCUUCGGGUUGUAAACCGCUUUUGUCAGGGAAGAAAAGGUUCUGGCUAAUACCUGGGACUCAUGACGGUACCUGAAGAAUAAGCACCGGCUAACUACGUGCCAGCAGCCGCGGUAAUACGUAGGGUGCAAGCGUUAAUCGGAAUUACUGGGCGUAAAGCGUGCGCAGGCGGUUAUGCAAGACAGAGGUGAAAUCCCCGGGCUCAACCUGGGAACUGCCUUUGUGACUGCAUAGCUAGAGUACGGUAGAGGGGGAUGGAAUUCCGCGUGUAGCAGUGAAAUGCGUAGAUAUGCGGAGGAACACCGAUGGCGAAGGCAAUCCCCUGGACCUGUACUGACGCUCAUGCACGAAAGCGUGGGGAGCAAACAGGAUUAGAUACCCUGGUAGUCCACGCCCUAAACGAUGUCAACUGGUUGUUGGGAGGGUUUCUUCUCAGUACGUAGCUAACGCGUGAAGUUGACCGCCUGGGGAGUACGGCCGCAAGGUUGAAACUCAAAGUGUAGUGCGNGNGAGNGCGACGACGACGACGAGGAGGAGG
RNAcentral lists this ribosomal RNA (614 nucleotides) under uncultured bacterium. RNAcentral's name for it is "bacterial SSU rRNA". It matches the Rfam family "Bacterial small subunit ribosomal RNA", at positions 338 to 944 of the family's 1533-position model. The record is from RNAcentral.